UACGUAGGGUGCGAGCGUUAAUCGGAAUUACUGGGCGUAAAGCGUGCGCAGGCGGUUCGUCGUGUCCGAUGUGAAAGCCCCGGGCUCAACCUGGGAAUGGCAUUGGAAACUGGCGGGCUUGAGUGUGGCAGAGGGGGGUGGAAUUCCGCGUGUAGCAGUGAAAUGCGUAGAGAUGCGGAGGAACACCGAUGGCGAAGGCAGCCCCCUGGGCUAACACUGACGCUCAUGCACGAAAGCGUGGGGAGCAAACAGG
RNAcentral lists this ribosomal RNA (253 nucleotides) under uncultured bacterium. RNAcentral describes it as "partial 16S ribosomal RNA". It matches the Rfam family "Bacterial small subunit ribosomal RNA", at positions 524 to 776 of the family's 1533-position model. The record is from RNAcentral.